Molecule: ribosomal RNA, 254 nt
Filed under: uncultured bacterium
Lineage: Bacteria
Description: partial 16S ribosomal RNA
Rfam family: Bacterial small subunit ribosomal RNA
Source: RNAcentral
UACAGAGACUGCAAGCGUUGUUCGGAUUUACUGGGCGUAAAGGGCGCGUAGGCGGCCAGCACAAGUCAGUUGUGAAAUCUCCGAGCUUAACUCGGAAAGGUCAACUGAUACUGUGCGGCUAGAGUGCGGAAGGGGCAACUGGAAUUCUUGGUGUAGCGGUGAAAUGCGUAGAUAUCAAGAGGAACACCUGCGGCGAAGGCGGGUUGCUGGGCCGACACUGACGCUGAGGCGCGAAAGCCAGGGGAGCGAACGGG